Molecule: non-coding RNA, 30 nt
Filed under: Mus musculus (house mouse)
Lineage: Eukaryota; Metazoa; Chordata; Mammalia; Rodentia; Muridae
Source: RNAcentral
UUUGAUGUUACUCAGAGUGCAGACCAUGGC